RNAcentral lists this transfer RNA (85 nucleotides) under Felis catus (domestic cat). It matches the Rfam family "tRNA". Rfam says of the family: Transfer RNA (tRNA) molecules are approximately 80 nucleotides in length. Their secondary structure includes four short double-helical elements and three loops (D, anti-codon, and T loops). The record is from Rfam by way of RNAcentral. Lineage: Eukaryota; Metazoa; Chordata; Mammalia; Carnivora; Felidae. RNAcentral also lists the same sequence under 3 other names.
GCCUGAGUGGCUCAGUCGGUUAAGCGUCUGACUUCAGCUCAGGCCAUGAUCUCACAGUUUGUGGGUUCGAGCCCCUCAUCAGGCG